AAUUUAAUUAUGUCUCUAGAGUCUUCCAUUCUGAUUCUAUAUAUUUUAGAUUUAGUCCCUCCUCCCUUCCCACCCCUUCACACAUCACAAUUUCAAUCCUUCUUUUUCUUCUUCACACCAUUCUCACUCAUCUCAAGGUUCGUUUUUUUUCCCCUUUUUUUAAAUUAUGAAACCCUAAUUUUUUUUUAUAACGCAAUUCGCUUAUCGAUUGCUUUUUCAAUUUCUGUUAUUCAGGGCUUUUAAUUUACGCUCGCGUUUCGUUCUUCAUCAUCUUCGUUCGAUCAAUCAAUCCAUAAUGACUCAUAUCCUUUCUCAUUGUUCAUUCGUGAGAAAAAUUGGGGAAAAUUAUCGAUUUUCUUUUUCAAUUUUUAAUUUUUUUGUUAGCAAUUGCAUUCUGUUUGGAUUAAUUGAAAGGAUUGAAAUUUAAAAGGAAUAAUUUUAAUAAUUGGGAAAAUUAGGGUUUGUGAUUUUUUUUUUUCAUCAUGAUAUGCAAUUUCGUUUUGUUGUUUGAACUUAACUGAAGCUCACGCGGUAAUCAAAGAGAAAGAGAUCGUGAAAGAGCUCAAGCAAGAGCGAAUCAGAAAGCUAAACAAUCUAAGAGUGAUGGAUUGACACCUGAACAACGAAGAGAAAGGUUCAUUUUUUAACCCUCUUUUUUUAUGUUUAAUUUGUAAUGAUGAUUAAUUAAUUAAUAAUUAAUUAAUAAUUUUGUGUGUUAAUUUGGAUUAGGGAUGCAAAAGCAUUGCAAGAGAAAGCUGCAAGGAAAGCUGGACAGCGUGCUGGAGGAAGUAACAUGGGUGGGGGUGGUGGUGGAGAUAAAUAAUUAGGAAAUAAUUAUGAUAAUUAAUUGAAUAUUUAGAGAUAUUAGGAAGGAAUGAAGGGUGUAAUUGUGAUGAUUAUGGUUGUUUUUAUUUGAUGAUAUGGGUUUAUGGUUUUAAGUCAUCUGCUGCAAAUUAUGUUUAUUCUGAUAAACUAAUUUAUGGUGUGGAAGGGUAUUAUUGUUAUUGUUUGUUGUUGGCUUUUUAACCUUUUACUUUUAUCUGAUUUUGAAUGCAAUAUCUAUUUGUAACAUUGUGUAAUCACUAGUAUUUCUUAUUCUUUAUCUUUUUAUUUUUGUAUCUGUCAAAUCCCAAAAUUUCCUUCCAUAAACCAUAAAUUUGCU
Molecule: long non-coding RNA, 1162 nt
Filed under: Trifolium pratense (red clover)
Lineage: Eukaryota; Viridiplantae; Streptophyta; Magnoliopsida; Fabales; Fabaceae
Description: long non-coding RNA (TPRA_LNC002616)
Source: RNAcentral